GAAGGUCUGUUAGAGGAGUAAAGAUGAAGUUCAUUGUAGGACUAGAUGAUAAGAAGGAAUUAAAAGAGUUCGACGAUAAGAAGGAGAGAAAGGAAAAAAGAAAAGCUUAGCUGAGUGAAUGACCCCUUCAAAAGUUGAAAUUUUUUUUAUCACCAAAGUCAUGUUGUUAAAUAUGCUCAUGUUGUAAUCUCAUAUAGACAUAUAAAAGAACAUGACCGAUUUGAAGUAUGUUUUUGUUUGUGAAGUUGUAUUGUUGUG
RNAcentral lists this long non-coding RNA (258 nucleotides) under Cucumis sativus (cucumber). RNAcentral describes it as "long non-coding RNA (CSAT_LNC000568)". Lineage: Eukaryota; Viridiplantae; Streptophyta; Magnoliopsida; Cucurbitales; Cucurbitaceae. The record is from RNAcentral.